Molecule: ribosomal RNA, 1510 nt
Filed under: uncultured Bordetella sp.
Lineage: Bacteria; Pseudomonadati; Pseudomonadota; Betaproteobacteria; Burkholderiales; Alcaligenaceae
Description: partial 16S-23S ribosomal RNA intergenic spacer
Rfam family: Bacterial small subunit ribosomal RNA
Source: RNAcentral
AAGUUCGAUUAUGGCUCAGAUUGAACGCUGGCGGGAUGCUUACACAUGCAAGUCGAACGGCAGCACGGACUUCGGUCUGGUGGCGAGUGGCGAACAGGUGAGUAAUGUAUCCGGAACGUGCUAGUAGCGAGGAUAACUACGCGAAAGCGUAGCUAAUACCACAUACGCCCUUCGGGGAAAAGCAGGGGACCUUCGGGCCUCGCACUAGAGCAGCCGAUAUCGGAUGCUGGCUAGUUAGUGGGGGUAACAGCUCACCAAGGCGACGAUCCAUGUAGCUGGUUUGAGAGGACGACCAGCCACACUGCAGGACUGAGACACGGCCCAAAGGAACUCCUACAGAGGAGGCAGCAGUGGGGAAUUUUGGACAAUGGGGAAACCCUGAUCCAGCCAUCCCACGCGUGUGCGAUGAAGGCCUUCGGGUUGUAAAGCACUUUUGGCAGGAAAGAAGCAGCCUGGGAUAAUACGUGCAACUGACAGCCUGCAGGAAUAAGCACCGGCCUUUAACACGUGCCCAGCAGCCCGCGGUAAUACGUAGGGUGCACUAGCCGUUAAUCGGAAUUACUGGGCGUAAAGCCGUACGCAGGCGGUUCGGAAAGAAAGAUGUGAAAUCCCAGGGGCUUAACUUUGGAACUGCAUUUUUAACUACCGAGCUAGAGUGUGUCAGAGGAGGUGGAAUUCCGCGUAACAACAGUGAAAUGCGUAGAUAUGCGGAGAACACCGAUGGCGAGGGAGCAGCCUCCUGGAGGAUAACACUGACGCUCAUGCGCACGAAAGCGUGGAGCAGACAGGUUGGAUACCCUGGUAGUCCGCCUCGCCGUGUCGCUGAAAGCUGUUGGGGCCUUCGGGCUGCAGUAGCGCAACUAACGCGUGAAGUUGACCGCCUGGGGAAGUACGGUCGCAGAUUAAACUCGAAGGAAUUGACAGGGACCUUGCUGGCCAGUGGAUGAUGUGGAUUAAUUCGAUGCAACGCGAAAAACCUUACCUACCUUGACAUGUCUGGAAUCCCGAAGAGAUUUGGGAGUGCUCGCAAGAGAACCGGAACACAGGUGCUGCAUGGCUGUCGUCAGCUCGUGUCGUGAGAUGUUGGGUUAAGUCCCGCAACGAGCGCAACCCUUGUCAUUGGACACGAAAAGGGCACUAAUGAGACUGCCGGUGACAAACCGGAGGAAGGUGGGGAUGACGUCAGAAUCACUUAGCCCUUAUGGGUGAAGCUACACGUCGUAAUGGUCAGGACAGAGGAGUGCGCCAACCCGCGAAGGAGCCAAUCAGAAACCCGAUCGUAGUCCGGAUCGCAGUCUGCAACUCGACUGCGUGAAGUCGGAAUCGCUAGUAAUCGCGGAUCAGCAUGUCGCGGUGAAUACACGUUCCCGGGUCUUGUACACACCGCCCGUCACACCAUGGGAUGGGUUUUACCAGAAGUAGUUAGCCUAACCGUAAGGAGGGCGAUGCCACGGUAGGAUUCAUGACUGAGGUGAAGUCAUGCCAAAGAUAGCUCUUCUGAUGCUCCCAG